AAUACCGCGUGGUACAUCUGUGGGGCAUCCCACGGGUGUUAAAAGGAAGCGAUUCCGGCGGAGGAUGGGCAUGCGGCGCAUUAGCUUGUUGGCGGGGUAACGGCCCACCAAGGCGACGAUGCGUAGGGGUUCUGAGAGGAAGGUCCCCCACACUGGUACUGAGACACGGACCAGACUCCUACGGGAGGCAGCAGUGAGGAAUAUUGGUCAAUGGGCGGGAGCCUGAACCAGCCAAGUCGCGUGAGGGAAGACGGUCCUAUGGAUUGUAAACCUCUUUAGGCGGGGAGCAAUGCCGGGCACGCGUGCCCGGAGGGAGAGUACCCGCAGAAUAAGCAUCGGCUAACUCCGUGCCAGCAGCCGCGGUAAUACGGAGGAUGCGAGCGUUAUCCGGAUUUAUUGGGUUUAAAGGGUGCGUAGGCGGAUUUUUAAGUCAGCGGUAAAAUGUCCGGGCUCAACCCGGGCCGGCCGUUGAAACUGGGGAUCUUGAGUGGGCGAGAAGUAUGCGGAAUGCGUGGUGUAGCGGUGAAAUGCAUAGAUAUCACGCAGAACUCCGAUUGCGAAGGCAGCAUACCGGCGCCCGACUGACGCUGAGGCACGAAAGCGUGGGGAUCGAACAGGAUUAGAUACCCUGGUAGUCCACGCAGUAAACGAUGAAUGCUAGUUGUCCGGUUCUUUGGGACUGGGUGACACAGC
Molecule: ribosomal RNA, 693 nt
Filed under: uncultured bacterium
Lineage: Bacteria
Description: bacterial SSU rRNA
Rfam family: Bacterial small subunit ribosomal RNA
Source: RNAcentral